This 468-nucleotide ribosomal RNA is filed under the name uncultured bacterium. Its description in RNAcentral is "partial 16S ribosomal RNA". It matches the Rfam family "Bacterial small subunit ribosomal RNA", at positions 28 to 507 of the family's 1533-position model. The record is from RNAcentral.
GACGAACGCUGGCGGCGUGCUUAACACAUGCAAGUCGAACGGAAAGGCCCUGCUUUUGUGGGGUGCUCGAGUGGCGAACGGGUGAGUAACACGUGAGUAACCUGCCCUUGACUUUGGGAUAACUUCAGGAAACUGGGGCUAAUACCGGAUAGGAGCUCCUGCUGCAUGGUGGGGGGUGGAAAGUUUCGGCGGUUGGGGAUGGACUCGCGGCUUAUCAGCUUGUUGGUGGGGUAGUGGCUUACCAAGGCCUUGACGGGUAGCCGGCCUGGGAGGGUGACCGGCCACAUUGGGACUGAGAUACGGCCCAGAGUCCUACGGGAGGCAGCAGUGGGGAAUAUUGCACAAUGGGCGGAAGCCUGAUGCAGCAACGCCGCGUGCGGGAUGACGGCCUUCGGGUUGUAAACCGCUUUCGCCUGUGACGCAGCGUGAGUGACGGUAAUGGGUAAAGAAGCACCGGCUAACUACGUG